CCUACGGGAGGCAGCAGUGGGGAAUAUUGGUCAAUGGACGCAAGUCUGAACCAGCCAUGCCGCGUGCAGGAAGACGGCUCUAUGAGUUGUAAACUGCUUUUGUACGAGGGUAAACGCAGAUACGCGUAUCUGUCUGAAAGUAUCGUACGAAUAAGGAUCGGCUAACUACGUGCCAGCAGCCGCGGUAAUACGGAGGAUUCAAGCGUUAUCCGGAUUUAUUGGGUUUAAAGGGUGCGUAGGCGGUCGGAUAAGUUAGAGGUGAAAUCCCGAGGCUCAACUUCGGAAUUGCAUCUGAUACUGUUCGGCUUGAGAGUAGUUGCGGUAGGCGGAAUGUAUGGUGUAGCGGUGAAAUGCUUAGAGAUCAUACAGAACACCGAUUGCGAAGGCAGCUUACCAAGCUACUUCUGACGUUGAGGCACGAAAGCGUGGGGAGCAAACAGGAUUAGAUACCCGGGUAGUC
Molecule: ribosomal RNA, 460 nt
Filed under: uncultured bacterium
Lineage: Bacteria
Description: partial 16S ribosomal RNA
Rfam family: Bacterial small subunit ribosomal RNA
Source: RNAcentral